GGAGGGGGAGGAGCUCUGGAUGCCCUUGUGGAUGCGCUGGAGCUCGACCGUUCGGGAGGCAGGUCUAGCCGGAAUCACACGCUUGCCUGCAGGACAGACCACGACUCUGCUUGUGGAAGGUUUUCCGAGGACAACGUCCCGCGAUCCCGCUGCCUCUUUCCCACGGAGCUGUGGCCGAGUUUCAGUUGAACAAUCCACAAGGGUCAAGACUCUGGAGAGCAGGUCUAGGAGAGGCCGCUAGAGGCCGCGCUCGGUCCCUUCCCAGAGAAACCGAAAGGGCUCCAGCGAAUGUGUGUUCAGCCAGCACUGUGUUCUUUCAUAACCUCCGCGCUGUGCUUGCGGCUCUCUGCGAAGGCCGGAGGCAGAUCAGACACCGGCCUCGAAGUCAGAGAAUGCUGUAGCCCCUCCAUCACAGAUGGUGGGAUGCUGGGUGGCCUCUUAGAGCCCCUCCUCCGACUGCCGGGCCUCUCCCCAGGGCUCCCCUGGGGCUGAAAGCUUGGUCUGCUGAUAACAGUCCCCUGACCCCGCUGGGAUUCUGAAGCCCAGAGAAUGGAUAUGGAGAGAAAGCAGUGGAGCAAAGGUGGAGAGAGAAGGAACCUCAGAGCUCAAGCAGGCAGACUCCUUCCAAGCGUGGCACCUGAGCCUUGGGACUGCUCCCCUGGAGGUUGGGCCUGAGUUGACGCUACAAGAGGAACCCAAGUGGAAGAAAUCAACCAACCUGGGAAAUGAAGCAGAGGUUUCUAGAGGCUGCCCCGCCUAAAAGAGUGUUCAAAGGCCACUGAAUUCUUAAGUUCGAUCCAAGUCUUCAUUCUUAGGCGCUUACUGCACACCAGUCACUAUGUUGACGGACGGCAGAAGGCCCAGAUCCUCUGGGUCUAAAAGGUGAUUCAGACACAUUCCAGGACAAGUCAACAGCCAUCUGGAAACCCAUAUGACAGCCCUUUCCCCCCCAAGGAUGGAGACCCUGGAACACUUACAAAGCCCACAUCUCUCUGUGAAUGUAACCACUGACAUUAUCAUCUGAAUAAUGAUCACUGUCUUAUCUCCAGGCCCACCGACUGGCUCCCACUUCUUCAUAAAACACUCAUGCAUAUCUGCUCAUCUCUGCACCAGCUAUGCUUUCCAUUGUAGGCAUCACAGUGGUCAACCAUAUGAUCACUGGUGUUGGAUGGCCCAGGUUCAAAUCCCAUCUCUGCCACUUACUGGCUACAUGACUUUGGGUAAGUCACUUUAUUUCUCUGACCAUUUUUCUUAUUGGAAUAAAGGGGAUAAUUACAAAACCUCCUGUGGUUUAUUGUAAGGAUCAGAUAAGUUCAUGUCUACAGAAUUUUACAGUGGUGUCUGGGGUAUAGGAAGAAAUUAUAUGGUAAUGGGAUGGCACUGAUAAUGAUGAUGAUUUUCUGAGAUGAUCAUUUCUCCCUCAUUUAUUUAGCAAGAUUUUAUUAAUACAUUACCUAAAAUAUUACCUGUUCUUGCACAACAAAGGAAACCCUAAAUAAAA
Phacochoerus africanus (Common warthog) is the source of this 1501-nucleotide long non-coding RNA. RefSeq lists it as uncharacterized. NCBI's taxonomy places the organism in Eukaryota, Metazoa, Chordata, Mammalia, Artiodactyla, Suidae. The record is from RefSeq and is a predicted model, not a curated record. The transcript has 4 exons.